This 577-nucleotide long non-coding RNA is filed under the name Ricinus communis (castor bean). RNAcentral's name for it is "long non-coding RNA (RCOM_LNC003108)". The record is from RNAcentral. Lineage: Eukaryota; Viridiplantae; Streptophyta; Magnoliopsida; Malpighiales; Euphorbiaceae.
AGCAAGUGCACCACCUAAGCUAUGCCCAGUGACUACAAAUUUUGCGUUCUUGUGGUCUUUUAGUAAUCCCUUGAGCGUCGAUGCCGCAAGAAAGUAAACACCAUCAUAUGCCCAUACCAAGUGGUCCGGAGCCAUCUCGGACUCUUUCCUUAAUUCGGUUAUGCUUCCUGGCGACUUUGUGUUAAUGCUAGUCUCAAAGCUGGAAAUAGAAUUUCUGUGACCCAAACCCAUUGCUUCUAAGAAUCCAACAUGGACACUUCCUGCGUCUCCCAACCCAACUAAGGAGAAAUCAAAAUCAGUACACCAAUUUGGUAUACUAAAAGGUCCUGUGCCUCUGAAGCUGAUCACUAUCAAGUUUGCAUCUUUUGGCUUGUCACAAAAGAUGAACGCAUGAGUGUUCCUUGCAUCUUGGAAAUCUAUAGAUGAAAGAGUUAAUAAUUAAAGAAAUUAAAACAAAAACAUGAUCAGAUGAGGGGCUUUAAUGAAUGAGUUGAAUCUAUGAAACUAAAUGCAAUGCAAUUGUAUUUUAUAUUUAUUUAAUGCUAAUGAUUUUAAGUGAGCAUUUAUUGAGUCCAAG